GGGGUCGUGGGUUUUUAGCAAUCCUUAACCCACUGAGCAAGGCCAGGGAUCGAACCCACAACCUCAUGGUUCCUAGUCGGAUUCGUUAACCACUGUGCCACGACGGGAACUCCCACUUGGUGGUUUAAAACAGUGCAGAUAUAUUCUCUGGCCAUUCUGGAAGAAGGAACUCCAGAGUCAGUCUCACAGAGCUAGAGUCAAGGAGUCAGCAGAGCUGGUUCUUUCUGGAGGCUCCAGAGGAGAAUCCAUUCUUUGCUUUUUCCAUUUAUAGAGGCUGCCCACAUUCCUCAGCUCACCGCCCCUUCCUUGAUCUUCAAAGCCAGUCUCAUAGUCUCUUCAAAUCUCCUCUGACCUUGUCCUCUGCUUAUGCCAUUGUAUAUCCUUCCCUUUCCCGCUUCUCUCAUGUUCCCUGACUCUGACCCUCUUGCUUCCCUAUUAUGAGGCCCACUGUGCUGACAUUGAACCUACCUGGAAAGUCCAGGAUACCCUUCCCAUCUCAAGACCCUUAAUUUUCCCUUGUGAGAUCACAUAGUCACAGUUUCUGGAGAUUAGGACAUAGACAUCUUUGGGGGGGGUGAUCAUUAUUGAAUUUACCACAGGAGGCUUCGAGGUGGUUAGAUAUAUGUCCCAAGAUUAGUAUACAGACCACUCAGCACUGUCCAUUGCACCACAGCUCCUCUCUCCCCUUCUGCCAGGAAAUCCUGAGCUGCCCAGUGAACCACAGCCCAAUUUCAGACUCGGAGGGCAGAUCUGAGUUAAGUUCUCCCAAGGCAAUUGGCCUAUGGGACAGAUAUCGCAACAAGUAUUAUAUUUGAAGCAAAUGAUCCUGCAAAACCAGCAGGUCCUGGCUCAGAGAACUGGAGGAUGAGGUGCCGCAUCCUGAUGGGUGGAUGGAUUGUGGGAGGCCAAAGGGAGGGUAGGGCUGGCAGGUGCCCAGAUAGGUGGGAAGAUGAGAUGGAGGAGCCAUGGAAAGAUAGCACAGUCAGGUGGAUUGGGGGCAGGGAAGAGAGACAAAAGGAGGAGGAGCUGACUGGGGAAGGAUGGACUCAGACACCUGGGGACUAUGGUAUCAGGCAGACCUUGGGCUUGAAACUCAGCUCUGCCACUUCUCACGGAUGCUGCAUCUGCCUAACCUCUUUGAGCUGCAGUCUCUUCUCUGUGAAGUGAAAAAUCACACCUCUUAAGGCUGUUAUAUACCACUAUUAUGUGUAUGCUACCUUUUUAUACACAUUUUUGUACUUUUACCAUAAAUACUAUGCAGUGUUUUUUCAGUGUUUUCAUUGAUAUGAUAACAUAUGGUAAGUGUAAUUUUACAUCCAUUUUAACCCAAAAUUAAUUGUUAAAGAUAUACCCAUAAUGAAUGAAUGAAUGAAUGAGAGCAAUUACAGAACAAGCCCUAAGGUGGGAAAACUUUCUUCAAUUGGUGAGCACCUCAUUGACUGGGGAGGAUUUCAAGCACAGGCCAAGUCAUCUUCUUGUGGCUCCUCCAUCUCCUGGGGACCUUCACACCUCUGCCUGGAGUAUUUGCUGGCCCCCUCCCCACUCUGGCUUUUUGGAGUCUGUCCAUCCUUCAGCCAGGACACUUCCUGAAACCAUCUCCAGUUCUUAGGCUCACAGAUGCUGGUGGGGGGGAGUGAAUGCUUCACAAAGAGUAACUAAAAACAGCAACAACAGUGCAGCUUGGCAAUUACACUACAAGUUAAGGAUGGAUGGACAUCCUGUCCAACACACAUAGUCACAACACCCUGACUACUCCCUCCAAGUCUGCCCCAAAUUAAUCUUGCCUAUAAAGAGCUCCAUUUCUCCAGAGGAAGAGCCGCUUUAUUAGAGAAGCCCCUUCUCCAUAAAGAUAGAACAAGCAGACCAAUAAACCUUCCCUGGUUUCGGCAUCACUUUGGAAAUCGAUGUGCUAUGAUUGCGAAUCCAGCCUCUGUCAGCAGCCGCCUAAUUUUAGCUGGAUCUUUGCGGGCUUCUCACCGGGCUCAUCCGCCCCCAUGGACUGGCAGAGCGGUUCCCAGAGCAUCAUUGAUCUUUUGACUAAAGUGUCCUAAUGAAAUACAAAUCUGUUGUCACUUAGAGAGCCAUCUGUCAUGGCAGCACAGAAGAAAUGCUACCAGGAGAACAAUAACCAUAAUUUCAUUUUAAGACCCAGCCUUCUUCUCCCCUUUCCUGCCCCCAAAAAAAGUCAAUAUCUUUCACUGUUUCAUUUUGUCACAGAGCAAUAAGAGGAAAGCCAUCCAUAGGGCGUUAAAGAUGUUUCCAAUUAUGUGCAAAUCCUCUGUUAUAAGGGCCCUUGGCCUCUUGGAGUAGUUAGCACCUAUUUGCAUAAAGGGAGUUAGCCAAAGCUUAUUCUGUGUUCCUGUCUUGGGGCAUCCUGCCCAGGUAAGUGACAGGUGUGCAGUGUUCUUGGAGUCCUGGGGUCACAAGUACCAGCCUUACAGAGCAUCAGGCCUUUCCCGGGGGGAAUGGUCAAAAUAAGCAAAGUUUUUUUUUGUUUGUUUUUGUUUUUUUUUUUAAAUGCAGAAUAAAAUUUUAUUUUAUUUUAUUUUAUUUUUAUUUUUUUAUUUUCCCACUGUACAGCAAGGGGGUCAGGUUAUCCUUACAUGUAUACAUUACAAUUCCUUUUUUCCCCCACCUUUUCUUCUGUUGCAACAUAAGUAUCUAGACAUAGUUCUCAAUGCUAUUCAGCAGGAUCUCCUUGUACAUCUAUUCUAAGUUGUGUCUGAUAGGCCCAAGCUCCCGAUCCCUCCCACUCCCUCCCCCUCCCAUCAGGCAGCCACAAGUCUCUUCUCCAAGUCCAUGAUUUUCUUUUCUGAGGAGAUGUUCAUUUGUGCUGGAUAUUAGAUUCCAGUUAUAAGUGAUAUCAUAUGGUAUUUGUCUUUGUCUUUCUGGCUCAUUUCACUCAGGAUGAGAUUCUCUAGUUCCAUCCAUGUUGCUGCAAAUGGCAUUAUGUCAUUCUUUUUUAUGGCUGAGUAGUAUUCCAUCGUGUAUAUAUACCACAUCUUCCGAAUCCAAUCGUCUGUCAAUGGACAUUUGGGUUGUUUCCAUGUCCUGGCUAUUGUGAAUAGUGCUGCAAUGAACAUGCGGGUGCACGUGUCUCUUUUAAGUAGAGUUUUGUCCGGAUAGAUGCCCAAGAGUGGGAUUGCGGGGUCAUAUGGAAGUUCUAUGUAUAGAUUUCUAAGGUAUCUCCAAACUGUUCUCCAUAGUGGCUGUACCAGUUUACAUUCCCACCAACAGUGCAGGAGGGUUCCCUUUUCUCCACAGCCCCUCCAGCACUUGUUAUUUGUGGAUUUAUUAAUGAUGGCCAUUCUGACUGGUGUGAGGUGGUAUCUCAUGCAACUGACAAGGGCUUAAUCUCUAGAAUAUAUAAACAACUUAUACAACCCAACAGCAAAAAAACCAAUCAAUCAAUGGAAAAAUGGGCAAAAGACCUGAAUAGACAUUUCUCCAAAGAAGAUAUACAGAUGGCCAACAAACACAUGAAAAAAUGCUCAACAUUGCUGAUUAUAAGAGAAACGCAAAUCAAAAUAAGCAAAGUUUAUCUUUGUCUUACAGCCCAGAGCCCAGGCAGUGGGAAUUUCCUGGAAGGAGAGGAGGGAAGGUCUGCUGCUUGCAGGGGGAGAGUGAGUGGCACAGUGUUUUCCUGUCAGGUCUGGGUCAUCAAGUCUGACUAUCCAGCUGCACUGUCUUUCCAAAUGGGGUCUUUGAGAUGCAAGAAGGAAAAGCUGACGUGUCCCAAAUUCACCCAGCACGUUGAUAGUAGAAAGAAAAAAGCCAGUGAUAUUCUCUCUGGUCAACUCCACAGGGGGAAGUGACACUCUGGGCAUUGAAUAUUGUAAUAUAACUGUCUCUCUAUCCUGCAUUUUACAUGCUCCAAAGCCUGGACUUAUUUCAGUAUACUUUUUAAAAAUCAGUUUUGUUGAGAUGAUGUAGAUGUAAUAAAAUUCAGCAAUUUUAACUAUUCAGCUGGUUAAGUUUUGACAUAUGCUUAUAGUUUUUUAACUAUCUCCACGAUGUUCACAUUUCCAUUAGCCUCCAAAUCCCCCCUGUCCUUUUUCAGUCAACCCUUUCCCAUAAUCCAUAGCCUUUGUCAACUGAUCUUCUCUAUGUGGUUUUUCCUUUUCUAAAAUUACGUAAAAAUAAAUCCAUAGAGCAUUUAGUCUUUCACGUCUUUUUAAAAUUUGGCACACUGACAUUAAGAUUCAUCUAUGAUGUUGUCCAUGUCAGUCGUUUAUAUCUUUUUUGGAGUAGAAGUCCAUUGUAUGGAUAUUCCACAUUUUAUCUAUUCAUGAGCUGAUAAAAUUUUUUUCCCUAGUUUUUGGCUAUGAUGAGUAAAGGGACUGUAAAUAUUCUCACACAAGUCUUUAUGUGAAUGUUCGCAUUCUUUCCUCUUGGUACAUACCUUUUAUCAGGAAGUAAUAAAAUGGGGUGAAUAGGCCAUGCAGUAGGGGCAUAUUUAGCUUCUAAGAAAUCGCCAAACUAAUUUCUGAAGUUAAACCAUUUUGCAUUCCCAGCAAUGUAUGAGAGGUCCAGAGGUUCAACAUUCUUGCCAACACUUAGGCAUCUUAAUUUUAGCCGUUCUAGUGGGUGCAUUGCUAUCUCAUUGUGGUUUUAAUUUGCAUUUCCCUAAUAACAACGAUGUUGAAUAUCUUUUCAAAUAUUUAUUUGCCAUAAUAUAUAUUUUCUUUAUUUUCUUUGGUGAAUUUUCUUUUUAUUUACUUAUUUAUUUAUUUAUUUAUUGCUUUGUAGGGCUAUAACUACGGCAUAAGGAAAUUCCCAGACCAGGGGUUGAAUUGGAGCUGCAGCUGCAUCUUCGACCUACGCCACAGCUCAUGGCAAUGCUGGAUCCUUAACCCCCUGAGCAAGGCCAGGGAUUGAACCUGCAUCCUCAUGGACACUAGUUGGGUUCAUAAGCCACCGAGACACAACAGGAACUCCUUUGGUGAAUUUUCUGUUCAGACUUUCUACUUAUUUUAUUGUUGACUAUUGUUAAUACUCUUUAUAUAUUCUGGAUACAUAUGAUUUUUAUAAUCAGAUUGUCCAUCUCAACAAAAUGUCAGUAGAGAUUUUGAUUGGCAUCAUAUUGUAUCUGUAGGUCAAUUUUGGGAUAAUUUACAUCUUCACAAUAUUGAGUUUUCAGUUCCAUGAACAUGGGAUAUUCUCCAUUUAUUUGGCUUUCUUUAAUUCCUGCCAGCAAUAUUUUUUUUAAAUAUUCACAAAUUUCGCUAAAUUUAUCCCUUCAUAUUACACUCUAUAAUGGUAUAUGGGACAUUUUAUUUUUAAUGCAUUUAUAAAUGGUAUUUUGACAAUCUUAGCCAUUUAAUUAGAAUUUUUAGAUCAUUCCAUUUAAGGUAAUAGUAAAUAUAUUUGGAUUUAAAUUCGCCAUAUUGAUAUUUGUUUCUGUUUGUUCCAACUGUCCUUAUCCUACUUAUACUGACUUUUCCUGAAUUAACUGAAAUGUUGUUUGUUUGUUUGUUUUUUGUCUUUUUGCCUUUUCUAGGGCUGCUCCUGUGGCAUAUGCAGGUUCCCAGUCUAGGGGUCGAAUCAGAGCUGUAGCCACUGGCCUACACCAGAGCCAUAGCAACGCGGGAUCUGAGCAGCAUCUGUGACCUACACCACAGCUCACGGCAACACUGGAUCCUUAACCCACUGAGCAAGGCCAGGGAUCGAACCUGCGACCUCAUGGUUCCUAGUCGGAUUCAUUAGCCACUGCACCACGAUGGGAACGCCAACUGAAUGUUUUAAUAUGUUUUUUUAUCUCUGUUACUGGUUUAUUAGUUGUAUUUCAUAUUCAUAUUUUUAUGGGUUGCUCAAGCAUUUUUAGUGUACAGCUUUAUCAGUCUAUCUGUAGAUAAUACUAUGUUAGUACGAGAACUUUAUAACAGUAAAUUUCCACUUCCUCCAUUCUGCUUUAUGCAUUGUUUUCUUACAUUUUAAUUCUACAUGUAUUACAAACCCAACAUAUACUAUUAUUGUUUGUACUUUAAACAAUUACCCUAAAGAGUAAAAUAUGAAAAAAAAAUCAUGUUUAUCAUUCUACUACUUGUCUUUCUUUUGUGUUCAUACUAAUUUCCAUGUGUUAUCAUUUGCCUAUGCCCAAAGGACUUUACUCAAUAUUUUUUGCAGGGCAGGUGAAUUCUCUCUUCUUUUUCUGAAACAAUCUUUAUUGCUUCCAUUUUCAAGUAUUUCCACAGGGUAUAGAAUUCUGUGUUCAUAUUUUUAAAUUUCUUCUUUCUAUCCUUUAAAGAUGCUGGGAGAUUUUUGAUUACUUAUUCAAUCCCCUUACUAGUUACAGAUCUACUCAUAUUUUCCAUUUUCUCAUAUUGUUAAGAUGUCGAUACUACACAAAGCAAUCUACAGACUCAAAUAAAAUUCCUAUCAAAAUCCCAA
RNAcentral lists this long non-coding RNA (6390 nucleotides) under Sus scrofa (pig). RNAcentral describes it as "lncRNA (ENSSSCG00060040935.1)". The record is from RNAcentral. Lineage: Eukaryota; Metazoa; Chordata; Mammalia; Artiodactyla; Suidae.